RNAcentral lists this long non-coding RNA (1378 nucleotides) under Oryctolagus cuniculus (rabbit). Its description in RNAcentral is "lncRNA (ENSOCUG00000037160.1)". The record is from RNAcentral. Lineage: Eukaryota; Metazoa; Chordata; Mammalia; Lagomorpha; Leporidae.
AUGGGGUCUGGAUUGCACCAAGACUCAAAAAGAGGGCAAAGGCUGCUUUGUCGCUUGCAGGCCACACAGGAGGGGAGGAGAGAGCAAGGACCCAGUGACAUGGAAGCCAUGGCCUCCCAGUUCUGCUGUCACUUUUGCGAAGUCCUGAGAAGAAAUCCCUGGAACUCCUUGUCACACGUGACAAGAUCAGGUUGCUCUGAGCUAGGCAUCAAGGGAGAGAAUCAGCAGAGAAAGGCAGACAGAGGACAAGGGACAAGGCCAAGCCCAGUGGCUGGGUGAGGAGACAGUUCCGUCAAAGGGUACCUGAAGGCCAAGGAGAAGAGAGGAGACACCUUGGCGUUCCUGGCCUGGGUGCACCUGUGCUCCCGGAAGUGCGCCGCCCUACUUCUGGCUCUGGAGGGCGGGACUCCCUUUGCCAUCUGGGCUGAGCCCCCAGUCCCAGAUGAUGAGCCAGCUGGAGGGGAGGGAGUGGGAUGCCCUGAGCGACGGGUCAGGAGCCACUGAUAAGCGAUGCUAGUUACUCCAGACCCUCCCUGGCCUCCAUGCUUCUGUCUUCUUGGAAGACCUGCUGACUCAGAGGGGUCACAGGGACCAGUCCUGGAGACGCCAGACAACAGGACUCGGGGCUUGAGGUGGCCGAAAGAUCCACCCUCGCGGGGCCGAAGGAGUCUGACACCCAAUCUGAAGUCUCAGACCCGAGGGUGGGGGAGGGCUCCAGGACCUUUCUGCCAUGGUGUCUGAGAGUCUGGGGCAGGGGCCCAGCCCCACCCUGCCCCAAGGAGCACCUGCACCCCCUCAGCCCCUCAGCUUCCUUCAUGCUCCCUGGAAUGACAUCUCUUGGGAGGGGGGCAACUUGCAGCCCAAGUCACCCUUCUCAGAGACAGAGAUGGUUUGAGAAGGCGCUGGCAGGUUGAGGCUGGCUGGCUGGCUAGACUUGCUAAUUUAUAAGAUAGUCCCCAUGAUGUGAUAGAACUCAUAAAGUGGUAUAUGGUUGUACGGGUGUUUGCCAUGCCAUUGUUAACCUUUACUGCCUGCUUGUUUUUCGUUUUUUUUUUUUUCUUCGUUUUUUUUUUUUAAUUUUGUAUCAAAAUAUCAGGAAAGAGGGGGAAAAAUUCUUUUUUUAAAAAAUUUAUUUAUUUAUUUGAAAGUCAGUGUUACACAGACGGAGAAGAAGACGCAGAGAGAGAGAGAGAGAGAGAGAUAAAGAGAGAGGUCUUCCAUGUGAUGGUUCUCUCCCCAGAUGGGGGAACUUCCAUAGCGAUCCAUCGGAUCGGCUCAGUUCUGGCCAUUGCAACCAUGUGGGGAGUGACCAGUGGAUGAAGACCUUGCUCUCUCUCUCUCUCCCUUCCCACACUUAAUAAAUAAAAUGAUUUCAUCA